Long non-coding RNA from Passer domesticus (house sparrow), 187 nucleotides. RefSeq lists it as uncharacterized. The transcript has 3 exons. The record is from RefSeq and is a predicted model, not a curated record. Lineage: Eukaryota; Metazoa; Chordata; Aves; Passeriformes; Passeridae.
GUAAGUAGCACUUGAGAUUUCCAUUGGAUCCUGUAACACGUUUUGACUGCUCAUGAAGACAUUAGGAGUGUUUCUGUAUUGUGGCCUCAUGCAGACUGAUCAAACUCCGGAAUUUGUACGUCUGUCAAAAUCUUCCCCAACUGCUUCUUCUUUGGAUAAGAAGCUUUUUGUCUGUUCAGUUAUGUGG